Seriola aureovittata is the source of this 402-nucleotide long non-coding RNA. RefSeq lists it as uncharacterized. Lineage: Eukaryota; Metazoa; Chordata; Actinopteri; Carangiformes; Carangidae. The transcript is spliced from 3 exons. The record is from RefSeq and is a predicted model, not a curated record.
GUACCAGGGCUGUUUGCCGUAGGUGAAGAUCUCCCAGAGGACCACGCCGAAGCUCCAGAUGUCGCUCUCCGUGGUGAACUUCCUGUACAUGAUGCUCUCCGGGGGCAUCCAGCGGAUCGGCAGCAUGACAGUUGCGGGUUGCCAGGUCGCGGUGGACAAAGUGCAACGAUGCCAGGUAGACCAUGCCCGAGGCGAUCUGGGCGGCGAUGUGCAGCAUCUGCGGCAGAGUUAGCUGACCCAGCGGCGGCAUCUUCGAUUCCUCCAGGAUACGAGCAUCGGGGCCGUGAGCUCUGCAGACACAGGAGACAUGACUGCCACCAGGAUGACGACUGCAGCUGUCAGAGCUGUGCAUCAGCUCAAGUUCUGUGAAGUUGCUGAUGUUUAAAAAGAACAUGUUGCAAG